UUGACGGGGCCGCACAAGCGGUGGAGCAUUGUGGUUUAAUUCGAUGCAACGCGAAGAACCUUACCUGGGUUUGACAUAUAGGUUGUAGGGAACUGAAAGGGACCGACCCUUCGGGGAGCCUAUACAGGUGUUGCAUGGCUGUCGUCAGCUCGUGUCGUGAGAUGUUCGGUUAAGUCCGCUAACGAGCGCAACCCUCGUCGUAUGUUAUAUGUGUCAUACGAGACUGCCGGUAAAAGCCGGAGGAAGGUGAGGAUGAUGUCAAGUCAGCAUGACCUUUAUAUCCAGGGCUACACACACGCUACAAUGGUCUGUACAAUGGGUAGCCAAGCCGCGAGGCGGAGCCAAUCCUGAAAGCAGGCCUCAGUUCAGAUUGCAGUCUGCAACUCGACUGCAUGAAGCCGGAGUUGCUAGUAACCGCAGGUCAGCAAUACUGCGGUGAAUACGUUCCCGGGUCUU
Molecule: ribosomal RNA, 456 nt
Filed under: uncultured Anaerolineaceae bacterium
Lineage: Bacteria; Bacillati; Chloroflexota; Anaerolineae; Anaerolineales; Anaerolineaceae
Description: bacterial SSU rRNA
Rfam family: Bacterial small subunit ribosomal RNA
Source: RNAcentral